This 253-nucleotide ribosomal RNA is filed under the name uncultured bacterium. RNAcentral describes it as "partial 16S ribosomal RNA". It matches the Rfam family "Bacterial small subunit ribosomal RNA", at positions 524 to 776 of the family's 1533-position model. The record is from RNAcentral.
GACGGAGGGUGCAAGCGUUGUUCGGAAUUACUGGGCGUAAAGCGCGUGUAGGCGGUUCGAUAAGUCGAAUGUGAAAGCCCGAGGCUCAACCUCGGAAGUGCAUUCGAAACUGUCAGGCUUGAGUACGGGAGAGGGAAGUGGAAUUCCUGGUGUAGAGGUGAAAUUCGUAGAUAUCAGGAGGAACACCGGUGGCGAAGGCGGCUUCCUGGACCGAUACUGACGCUGAGACGCGAAAGCGUGGGGAGCAAACAGG